UCCCUGGUGGUCUAGUGGUUAAGACUGAGCUUCCACUUCAAAGGAUGCAGGUUUGAUCCCUGGCUGGGGAG
This 71-nucleotide transfer RNA is filed under the name Ovis aries (sheep). It matches the Rfam family "tRNA". Rfam says of the family: Transfer RNA (tRNA) molecules are approximately 80 nucleotides in length. Their secondary structure includes four short double-helical elements and three loops (D, anti-codon, and T loops). The record is from Rfam by way of RNAcentral. Lineage: Eukaryota; Metazoa; Chordata; Mammalia; Artiodactyla; Bovidae.